CCUACGGGUGGCUGCAGUGAGGAAUAUUGGUCAAUGGGCUUACGCCUGAACCAGCCAAGUCGCGUGAGGGAAGACUGCCCUAUGGGUUGUAAACCUCUUUUGUCAGGGAGCAACGCCGGCUACGUGUAGCCGGACUGAGAGUACCUGAAGAUAAAGCAUCGGCUAACUCCGUGCCAGCAGCCGCGGUAAUACGGAGGAUGCGAUCGUUAUCCGGAUUUUUUGGGUUUAAAGGGUGCGUAGGCGGAAUGCCAAGUCGGCGGUAAAAUCGCGGGGCUAAACCUCUUCUAGCCGUUGAAACUGGUUUUCUUGAGUGAGUGAGAGGUAUGCGGAAUGCGUGGUGUAGCGGUGAAAUGCAUAGAUAUCACGCAGAACUCCGAUUGCGAAGGCAGCAUACCGGCGCUCAACUGACGCUCAUGCACGAAAGUGUGGGUAUCGAACAGGAUUAGAUACCCCUGUAGUC
This 460-nucleotide ribosomal RNA is filed under the name uncultured bacterium. RNAcentral's name for it is "partial 16S ribosomal RNA". It matches the Rfam family "Bacterial small subunit ribosomal RNA", at positions 338 to 795 of the family's 1533-position model. The record is from RNAcentral.